GAUGAACGCUAGCUACAGGCUUAACACAUGCAAGUCGAGGGGCAGCAUUAUCGAAGCUUGCUUUGAUAGAUGGCGACCGGCGCACGGGUGAGUAACGCGUAUCCAACCUUCCCCAUAGUCAGGAAUAGCCCGGCGAAAGUCGAAUUAAUGCCUGAUGUUUUCCACGGACGGCAUCCGAUGUGGAACAAAGAUUGAUCGCUAUGGGAUGGGGAUGCGUCUGAUUAGCUUGUUGGCGGGGUAACGGCCCACCAAGGCAACGAUCAGUAGGGGUUCUGAGAGGAAGGUCCCCCCACAUUGGAACUGAGACACGGUCCAAACUCCUACGGGAGGCAGCAGUGAGGAAUAUUGGUCAAUGGGCGGAAGCCUGAACCAGCCAAGUAGCGUGAGGGAUGACUGCCCUAUGGGUUGUAAACCUCUUUUAUAAGGGAAUAAAAUACGGGACGUGUCCUGUUUUGCAUGUACCUUAUGAAUAAGGACCGGCUAAUUCCGUGCCAGCAGCC
RNAcentral lists this ribosomal RNA (500 nucleotides) under uncultured bacterium. RNAcentral describes it as "bacterial SSU rRNA". It matches the Rfam family "Bacterial small subunit ribosomal RNA", at positions 28 to 516 of the family's 1533-position model. The record is from RNAcentral.